GACGAACGCUGGCGGCGUGCUUAACACAUGCAAGUCGAACGGAAAGGCCCUGCUUUUGUGGGGUGCUCGAGUGGCGAACGGGUGAGUAACACGUGAGUAACCUGCCCUUGACUGUGGGAUAACUUCAGGAAACUGGGGCUAAUACCGGAUAGGAGCUCCUGCUGCAUGGUGGGGGUUGGAACGUUUCGGCGGUUGGGGAUGGACUCGCGGCUUAUUAGCUUGUUGGUGGGGUAGUGGCUUACCCAGGCUUUGACGGGUAGCCGGCCUGAGAGGGUGACCGGCCACACUGGGACUGAGAUGCGGCCCAGACUGCUACGGGAGGCAGCAGUGGGGAAUAUUGCACAAUGGGCGGCAGCCGUAUGCAGCAACGCCGCGUGCGGGAUGACGGCCUUCGGGUUGUAAAACGCUUUCGCCUGUGACGAAGCGUGAGUGACGGUAAUGGGUAAAGAAGCACCGGCUAACUACGUG
This 468-nucleotide ribosomal RNA is filed under the name uncultured bacterium. Its description in RNAcentral is "partial 16S ribosomal RNA". It matches the Rfam family "Bacterial small subunit ribosomal RNA", at positions 28 to 507 of the family's 1533-position model. The record is from RNAcentral.